This 301-nucleotide ribosomal RNA is filed under the name uncultured bacterium. RNAcentral describes it as "partial 16S ribosomal RNA". It matches the Rfam family "Bacterial small subunit ribosomal RNA", at positions 509 to 807 of the family's 1533-position model. The record is from RNAcentral.
CAGUAGCCACGGGAAUACGGAGGGUGCAAGCGUCAUCCGGAUUCACUGGGUUUAAAGGGUGCGUAGGCGGGCAGGUAAGUCAGUGGUGAAAUCUUCGAGCUUAACUCGGAAACUGCCGUUGAUACUAUCUGUCUUGAAUAACGUUGAGGUGAGCGGAAUAUGUCAUGUAGCGGUGAAAUGCUUAGAUAUGACAUAGAACACCGAUUGCGAAGGCAGCUCACUAAACGCUCAUUGACGCUGAGGCACGAAAGCGUGGGGAUCAAACAGGAUUAGAUACCCGCGUAGUCCCUGUCUCUUAUAC